RNAcentral lists this small RNA (130 nucleotides) under Pantoea agglomerans. RNAcentral describes it as "RtT sRNA". It matches the Rfam family "RtT RNA". Rfam says of the family: This family represents a bacterial cis-regulatory element known as RtT RNA. The exact function of RtT is unknown although it is thought that it may be involved in changing the cellular response in relation to amino acid starvation. Lineage: Bacteria; Pseudomonadati; Pseudomonadota; Gammaproteobacteria; Enterobacterales; Erwiniaceae. The record is from RNAcentral.
UUUUCGUCUGCAGAAAAGAGGAUGAGAACCUCCGAAGGAGGUUUGAGCCGAGCGUAGCGAGACAACGUUGCUUCAGCAACGGCCCGCAGGGCGCUGCUCGCAGAGCAGUGUAAUCCUCUCUCGCCGACCA